This 184-nucleotide non-coding RNA is filed under the name Desulfonatronovibrio sp. MSAO_Bac4. RNAcentral's name for it is "6S RNA". It matches the Rfam family "6S / SsrS RNA". Rfam says of the family: E. coli 6S RNA was the first non coding RNA to be sequenced, but its function was unknown until recently. It consists of 184 nucleotides that fold into an extended hairpin structure with a large single-stranded internal bulge. The record is from RNAcentral. Lineage: Bacteria; Pseudomonadati; Thermodesulfobacteriota; Desulfovibrionia; Desulfovibrionales; Desulfonatronovibrionaceae.
AUAUUCCUGGCAGGUGCGUGAUGAAGGCAAUUUAUUUUGAGCCAACACUAACCUCAUGGGAGCCGCUGUGCGGUUCUGGUGUGCAGACCCCGAUUUUAUCGGGGGAGCCUGAAGGAAUCGCUUUGGCGCCCACUUAUACUUACGAGGUUCAAAAUAAAUUCCCACACGGCUUGCCGGGAAAAUU